This 253-nucleotide ribosomal RNA is filed under the name uncultured prokaryote. RNAcentral describes it as "partial 16S ribosomal RNA". It matches the Rfam family "Bacterial small subunit ribosomal RNA", at positions 525 to 777 of the family's 1533-position model. The record is from RNAcentral.
ACGGAGGGUGCGAGCGUUGUCCGGAAUCACUGGGCGUAAAGGGCGCGUAGGUGGCUGGAGAAGUCAACGGUGAAAGCUUGGGGCUCAACCCCGAGUCGGCCGUCGAUACUCUUUGGCUUGAGCACUGUAGAGGCAGGUGGAAUUCCGGGUGUAGCGGUGGAAUGCGUAGAGAUCCGGAAGAACACCAAAGGCGAAGGCAGUCUCCUGGGAGUUUCCUGACGCUCAUGCGCGAAAGCCAGGGGAGCGAACGGGA